This 21-nucleotide non-coding RNA is filed under the name Caenorhabditis elegans. The record is from RNAcentral. Lineage: Eukaryota; Metazoa; Nematoda; Chromadorea; Rhabditida; Rhabditidae.
UCAUGUUGCUGGUCAUCUUUU